This 432-nucleotide ribosomal RNA is filed under the name Deltaproteobacteria bacterium. RNAcentral's name for it is "bacterial SSU rRNA". It matches the Rfam family "Bacterial small subunit ribosomal RNA", at positions 1 to 417 of the family's 1533-position model. Lineage: Bacteria; Pseudomonadati; Myxococcota; Myxococcia. The record is from RNAcentral.
UAACUGGAGAGUUUGAUCCUGGCUCAGAGCGAACGCUAGCGGCGUGCCUAACACAUGCAAGUCGCGCGAGAAAUCCCGCUUCGGCGGGAGAGUAAAGCGGCGCACGGGUGAGUAACGCGUGGGUAAUCCACCCCCGAGACCGGAAUAACCCGCCGAAAGGCGGGCUAAUGCCGGAUAAGACCACGGGACUCAUGUUCUGCGGUCAAAGGUGGGGAUCCUUCGGGACCUACCGCUCGGGGACGAGCCCGCGUCCCAUCAGCUUGUUGGUGAGGUAACGGCUCACCAAGGCCGAGACGGGUAGCUGGUCUGAGAGGACGAUCAGCCACACUGGCACUGGAACACGGGCCAGACUCCUACGGGAGGCAGCAGUGAGGAAUAUUGCGCAAUGGGCGAAAGCCUGACGCAGCGACGCCGCGUGAGGGAAGAAGGCUU